This 2298-nucleotide long non-coding RNA is filed under the name Nicotiana tabacum (common tobacco). Its description in RNAcentral is "long non-coding RNA (NTAB_LNC003102)". The record is from RNAcentral. Lineage: Eukaryota; Viridiplantae; Streptophyta; Magnoliopsida; Solanales; Solanaceae.
UGAAAAAUUAGAAACGACUGAGUAUUCUCUCAAGUGAAAAGAGGCUAAAAAUUGUUUGGAGUUUGCUUGGUUUUUGGAUUUCUAAAUUACUGUGAUAAAUCAGAAUUUCAAGGCUCAAUAGAGUAAUUCGAAUCUGGGUUUCCAUAGUGUGGAUCUGAGUAAAAAAUCUGAAGUUUGUUGUGCACCAUUGUUUGUUGCAAUAUUGCUGCUGUGGGAUGAAGUUCUGAUCCUUAAUCACUUCUUUUCCUUCUGUUUUGACUGCCGUAUCCAGGUACUCUCUUCACACCAUGAAUGGAAAUGAAGUUUUGGCUAAGCUAUGGUUUGAUUUAUUUAAUUCAAGUUGAAGAAGUUGACAAAUGCUAAUUCCUUAUUACUUAUUAGCUAUGUGAUCUUACUGUACUUUUGGUUUAGUGUCCAUUCUAGUCUAGCUUCUUAAGUGUAGUAGCUCGUAUUAUCUGUUUGUUCUAAGGUUGGAGCUGAGAUUUUAUUUAACUAUGGUUUAUUCAAGAAUUUUCAUUCUAGUAUAACAUGUGUAAUUGAGGAUGGUGGCUAUUGAGCUUACUGACGAGGCUGCCUGGUCUUUGAAAAUGUUUUAUAGCUAUGGGUGGGAUGCUUAUUAGUUUGGUUCACUCAUGUUGUAGGUUCAUCAGUUUUGGUUUAAUUUUAUCUCCCCUUAAUGUUUCUUUAGAUUUUCUUGCGAAUAACUUAAGGUAUAGUCUAAUUGUUUCAGUUUUUCUCAUGCAAUUCUACCUUUUCUCACACACGAGCAUCUUGGAGUUUAAUAAAAUCUUAAAUGGAACCUGAACUUGACUCAUAGAAUUCUCAGAUUUGGAUCACUUCUUUACAUUUGGUUUUUUCUAUAGCAAGUCUGAAUCAUAUGGUUUGUUUAAGUAUGUUAGCAUGAGAUCUGAACUCAGCAAGUGAAUGGAGCCUAUUUGAAAUUUUGAAAUUGCUUUCUUCUGCUGGAAACUCGAAUGGAUGGUUUAAAAUGAUGAAAUAGCCUGCAUGAAUUGUUAAUAGUUGGUUGCCCAAAUUCUGAAUUUUUAUUACAAUGUGGUUCCUGCAGCGACUAGUGCUUAAAGAAUUGAAUUGGGCUAUAACAUUGGCCCAGUUGUGUCAAGUUUCCUCCGCUGGGUACAUUUCAGUUUUUGGGCUUCACAUUUGAGCCUAUAUGUGUUUUCCUAUUUAUUGACAAAGAUAAUUAGUUGGACAAUGGGUCUAUAACCCACCUGGGUUCUUUUAAUAAGCUCAAUUUGAUGUCACGAACUGUUAGCAUACGAAUUAUUGACAUUGAGUUUGAAACUUUCGCAUUAUAAAUUCUUCAUGCAGUUUAAUUUAGUUAAUUCCCUUUAAAAUUGGAAUUGAGGUGCGCCAUGCCAAAUAAAAUCUUAAAACGCAAGGCCCUCACUUGUUUAAUAUCUUAAUCCUUUAGAAAUCGAGGCGCGCCAUUUAGCAAAUUUCUAUGGUCCUCGCAAAGUUGGAAAAUGCGUAGUUGCUUUAGGCGCGUUGUUUUAAUAAUUUACCUCCUAAACUCGGGUGCACAUUUAUGUGACCCAAAUCCAAAUCUCAACGUUAAAUAAAUGUGUUGCGGACUGCAGGUGCAUUUAUGUGACGUGGUUCAAGGCAUAUUUUAAAUGACGUUGCAAUCUUCCUUUAAAAAUGAAUAAAAGCGGUUAUAAAGUUAAAAUUGAACCAUAGGCUAAAAUAUGUAUUAAAAUCAGAUAAUAAGCCAAUUGUAAUAGUUGAGCGACCGUGUUAUAACCACGGAACCCGAGAAUGCCUAACACCUUCUCCCGGGUUAACAGAAUUCCUUACCCGGACUUCUGUGUUUGCGGACUGUAAAACAGAGUCAAUCUUUCCUCGAUUCGGGAUUUAAAACAGGUGACUUGGGACACCAUAAAUUAUCCCAAGUAGCGACUUUGAAUCUUUAAAUAAAUAAAUCCUGUUUCGAUUGUCAUUAUAAGUUGGAAAAAACUCUCUAUUUAUACCCUUUACGGGGGUGUAAGUAAAAAAGAGGUGUGACACUAGGUACAUAUUGUUUAUGUACUCAUACUACGCUUUUGUACUUAAUUGUACAGGAUCUGAGGCAGGUACAUCUAGUUACCAGUCUGGUGCACCAUUCUUGAUCGUAGUCCGAGAUUCCACGGUGAGCUGCUCCCUUCCUAUGUCGUUCAGCAGCAUGAUGGAGUCUCUCUUUGCUUUUGGUUGUCUAUUCUAUUUCAGACAGUUGGAUAGAUUUAUUCUUUUAUAUAUUCUGCUAGAUGCCCAUAUACUUGUGACACCAGGUCUUGACACACA